Molecule: ribosomal RNA, 230 nt
Filed under: uncultured bacterium
Lineage: Bacteria
Description: partial 16S ribosomal RNA
Rfam family: Bacterial small subunit ribosomal RNA
Source: RNAcentral
AAAGCGUGCGCAGGCGGUUAUGUAAGACAGAUGUGAAAUCCCCGGGCUCAACCUGGGAACUGCAUUAGUGACUGCAUAGCUGGAGUACGGCAGAGGGGGAUGGAAUUCCGCGUGUAGCAGUGAAAUGCGUAGAUAUGCGGAGGAACACCGAUGGCGAAGGCAAUCCCCUGGGCCUGUACUGACGCUCAUGCACGAAAGCGUGGGGAGCAAACAGGAUUAGGUACCCUAGU